This is a non-coding RNA of Fukomys damarensis (Damara mole-rat), 135 nucleotides long. The record is from Ensembl. Lineage: Eukaryota; Metazoa; Chordata; Mammalia; Rodentia; Bathyergidae.
GGCCUCUUACUUGCUCCUUGGGCUGCUGAAGGUCCCUUUGCUCCUCAACGAGGGUGGGAGGCCAAGAUCAGCCUCGGAGGAGCGUUGUCAGUGUUGCCACAAGUGGGCAGUCUUAGUUUCCUGCGUCGGACAUGC